AUUCCUGUCAUCUUGAAGGCAAGCCACCGAAAGCUUCAUGACCACAAGAGGGCGUGUUCUGUUUUGAAUUUAAUGUAUCUGACUGCUCUCAGUGCCAGUCACAACAUCUGAACAGGGUAACUUCAUGUUUGCAUGCAAAUUUAGUAUGUUGGAGAGGUUCCAGGUUCUACUACUGAAAACUGAAAUAAUUCCACAGUGCGUACAGCAUCUCUGCCACUUCUUCUGUCCUCUGCCUGAGUGCAUUGUGCCUGGCCUGGACAGACCACAUCUCAAAAGGAGACAAGCUUUAAGGAGAAGGAGGAGGCCUUAGGCAGGAAAAAGCACCUUCUGUAAAGGAGGCUUGGUUUCCUGCCUGCUGAAAGGAGAGGGAAGUUCUUUUCUUUCAUCACUGUUAGGUGAGUGAAGUUUCCACACCCGUUUGCUUGAGGGAAAGGAAAACAGAUUUUGAAGUUUUUCUAAUUGCUGUGGUGCUUGUUGUCGCAGCUGAGAGAGGCAUUCCUGUAGGAAGGAACUUUUCCACCACGUGGCUGCUCUCUCCUCCACUGUCAUGUGUUUGAGAUCAAACAUCUCCCUGGACAAUGCUGACUUGGGGAUUUACAGUUUCUUGAGCUUCCUUGACUAAUCAGUUCCCACAUACUGCAUGUGGUCAGUUAACAAGAAUAAAGAUGUUUUUCCUACCUGUAAGUCCUGCA
Molecule: long non-coding RNA, 692 nt
Filed under: Dromaius novaehollandiae (emu)
Lineage: Eukaryota; Metazoa; Chordata; Aves; Casuariiformes; Dromaiidae
Description: lncRNA (ENSDNVG00000015227.1)
Source: RNAcentral